Molecule: unclassified non-coding RNA, 2942 nt
Filed under: Hevea brasiliensis (rubber tree)
Lineage: Eukaryota; Viridiplantae; Streptophyta; Magnoliopsida; Malpighiales; Euphorbiaceae
Source: RNAcentral
CACCAAUCGAAAUUCAAACUCGAAUAACCAAUAAUUAUCAUAGGAUCACACAUCCGUCCCUCAAAGGUCUUUCAUUCCAAAUCCAACCACUUCCCACUUCAGACAAUUUUUGCUUCAGAAUAUUACACCUGCAACAAAAAUUUUAAUGUGGGUAUGAUAAAUUCCAACCGAACGUAGUUGCUACGUCACACCCAAAAUUUGUACACAACAUAAUCAGUAAACUUCUAAUUAUACAAACAUGUACCGCAGCAUACAUUAAAACGUCUUCUUUUCAACUUCCAACUUAAGUGAACUUUCUUCCCCACGUUUUAGUCACUUGACUCAUUUCUAAGUUACAUAUAGAAGACAACAAUAUCAACUAAAUCCCUUCCUUGAAUGUACACAACGUGGAUAGCACAUUUAUCCAUAAACUUCUGAUCAAUUAACCGUUUACAUUUCUCAACCUUGCAACCAGUUCAUCCUGUACACAUCAUGCAAUGAAUCAGAUAGACAGAUGCAAAAUGAGAUUUCUAAUUCUGAAAUUUAUCGUCAAUCUGAGAAACAUGACUAGCUAAAAGAAGUCCACACUAAAUUCCUGUGAGUGUUUUUAUACUUACCUUCUUUCCUCUGGGUGAAAGACCCCGCUCCUUCAGAAGAGCACGAAGCCUUUCUACUGUCAAACUGUACAAGUCCCUAUCACCUGCUCGGCUAUCAGAUCCCUCUACACACCCAAAGGCAUUUAAAACUCAGAAGAUAAUACCAGUAAAUUGAAUAGCAGUAAAUGAAUGAAACAUGCCCUGCAUAUGAAACUUGCUGACAUUUAAGGCAGACAGGAUUCUCCGAAUUGAUGGCAUUUAGACAAAAAAAUCACCCCAUAUUGCUUUCUGGUAAUUUUUUAACAAGACACUUCUUAACUAUUCUUCAUUAUCCUACAAUGUCAUCGGCCAUUUUUGAAUGCCCGAUUUACAAAUAUACCAACCAAAGAAAACAAGGGCAUAUGGAUUCUGCUGAACAUGAAAAAGCAAAUGAGGAUUCAUGUGUCUAGAAGCCAUUGGUGCAUAAAGACCAAAAUUAUAAGAAACAAAUAAUUUACAGAACAAACCUUAAAAUACCAUACGAGGAUUCUUUGCUUGGGGGAAAAACAUUAUCGGUUGAUUUGGUGGUGGGAACCAGAAACAGGGUAAAUGAUAUUGAAUGAUCUUUAUUGCCGUUACCCAUUCAAAAAUGAUGUACUUACAUACCAAAUAAUGAUGAAUGCCAAUGCAAAAGAAAGACUACCAGAGCUCACCUUGCCGAGAACCAGUUUGACUAUUGCUUCUUUUAGCUGAAGCCCUGCCAUCCUGAACCCUUUCUGAAGCACGCUUUCUAGAACCCUCUGCUGCAGUUACUCCCUUCAUAUCCUUUGAACUGGAAUCACCCUUUUGUUUCUUCAGCUGAAGCGAUCUAAUCAAUAUGUUUGUUUGAUUAGUCUUUAUCUCUUGGCCCUCUGGAGGCAACGUAUCAUGCUCACAGAUGUAGACUCGCAUCCCACCCUGUACAAAAAUUCUUAACAUGUGAACAAAAAUUCAAUAUGAAAGAAAACUCUAUUGGAAGAGAACUCUAAUCAAUUUAAAAGAAAAGGCAAUGUCCAGUUACAUGAACAAAACCAAUAAUACAAAUACUCAAGAAAUAGACCAAGAAAAGAAGAUAACAAGAUCAACACCUGAAAUAUUGGCAUCAUUCAAAUCUUUCCAAAUCAAGGAAACCUCAAGAAAUAUCGCAAUUUAUGCAAAGAAUCUACACAAAAACUUAGGCAAGUUUUUCUUUAAGCAUCUUUUUAAAUAUUAAAAUAAGAAUAAGGUAUACAAUAUACAGCACACGAAAUAAAACCAGGAUAAAUCAAAUAAAGUUAAAAUCUUACAUAUUAGUUAUGAAAAAGAUGACUUAAUAACUCCUUAUUAGAAGGCAUAGUACUAUCCUUUUCAUUUAAUCUGUAAUUAUCGUAUGGUAAAGUGUGCUCAUUGCAGGCUUGGUAGUGAACAUUGAGGGCAAGCUUACACAUAAUAUAUUAAUAUUAGUGACAAACAAGAUGAUAUAUUAUCAUUUCUUCAUUCAUUGAAACAAAGGCUCUCAAAAGGUAGAUGUGUGAUAAGACCCUUGAUCACACCAAUGAAUACUUCCAUGCACAUGCCAAUGUCAAAAAGAAACACCUUCAACUUUGACCAUUAAUAUGGAACAAUCAAAAAGCAAUAUCUAUUUACAAUUUACAUAUUCAAAACCCAUAAUUAGAGAUACAACAACAAUAAGGUUCUUUGAGCUGGAAGACUAACUAUUCACUCUUGAGAGAUAGUCAUAUUAACAAAGCAACUUGGCAAUAAAGGAAUAAAUUAUUAAAUGCAUCUAAAGCAUCUCUACUAUCUAAUGUAUAACACGAUGUGCAUUGGUACGUAGUUUAAUAAAGUGCAAUCAUUGAGCCUUUAAAUAAAAUUCACAAAUGCAGAACCUUGAAAAUUAUUCAUCAAAGGUGGGGAGGUGCUUAAGAUUGUUUAUAAGGACCUAGAUCACAACAAAGUUCGUGGUGGGGGAAAAAUAAUUUCAAAACUCUAAAAACAGAAAUAUAAAAACCUACAACUUCUAACUUCUUGUUAAUUAAAGCAAACAGGAUGCCUUAAAGAGGAUAGCCUUGUUCAAUUGCUCAAAAACUGGAAUAAUUUUAGUCCAGUUCAUUUAAAUCAAAUCCAAACCUCACAAUACAACACGCAACUGCUACACUAUAGCCAUAAAUAUUAUAAUGUCAAUACUCAUUCUCACACAUGACACUUGGAUACAACCACAGAGGCAUCUCUAAUACAGCACUCCUAGUAUCUGCCACCCAUCACAACUGGCAAAAGAUACAUGCCAAAGGACUAAUUUCAUUAACCGUACAAAAUAAUCUACCCAACUUGCCGUCAAUUAAGCUCUUACUUUCCUGGAAUUCCUAUGGA